This 1332-nucleotide ribosomal RNA is filed under the name metagenome. RNAcentral's name for it is "bacterial LSU rRNA". It matches the Rfam family "Bacterial large subunit ribosomal RNA", at positions 1575 to 2925 of the family's 2925-position model. The record is from RNAcentral.
AAAAUAAAGUAGCGAAGUCCGUGAGCCAUGCGUCAAGAAAAGCCGCUAUUGUUUAUACCGUACCCGUACCGUAAACCGACACAGGUGGAUGAGGAGAGAAUCCUAAGGCCGGCGGAAGAAGCAUUGUCAAGGAACUCGGCAAAAUGGCCCCGUAACUUAGGGAUAAGGGGUGCCUGGGAAACCAGGCCGCAGAGAAUAGGCUCAAGCAACUGUUUAGCAAAAACACAGGUCUAUGCGAAACCGAAAGGUGAGGUAUAUGGGCUGACGCCUGCCCGGUGCUGGAAGGUUAAGAGGAGAGGUUAGCGGUAACGCGAAGCUUUGAAUUUAAGCCCCAGUAAACGGCGGCCGUAACGAUAACGGUCCUAAGGUAGCGAAAUUCCUUGUCGGGUAAGUUCCGACCCGCACGAAAGGCGUAAUGAUUUGAGCGCUGUCUCGACAAUGCAUCCGGUGAAAUUGAAGUACCAGUGAAGAUGCUGGUUACCUGCGCCAGGACGGAAAGACCCCAUGGAGCUUUACUCAGUCUGGUACUGGGACUCGGUAUUGCAUGAACAGGAUAGGUGGGAGGCUAGGAGAUGGUAACGCCAGUUGCCAUGGAGCCGCUGUUGGGAUACCACCCUUGCAGUAUUGGGUUUCUAACCAGCCGCCGUGACCCGGCGGUGGGACAAUGCCAGACGGGGAGUUUGACUGGGGCGGUCGCCUCCGAAAGGGUAUCGGAGGCGCCCAAAGGUUCCCUCAGAAUGGACGGAAACCAUUCGAAGAGUGCAAAGGCAGAAGGGAGCUUGACUGCGACACCGACGGGUGGAGCAGGUACGAAAGUAGGGCUUAGUGAUCCGGUGGUAUUAAGUGGGAAUGCCAUCGUUCAACGGAUAAAAGCUACCCUGGGAUAACAGGCUUAUCACUCCCAAGAGUUCACAUCGACGGAGUGGUUUGGCACCUCGAUGUCGGCUCAUCGCAUCCUGGGGCUGUAGUAGGUCCCAAGGGUUGGGCUGUUCGCCCAUUAAAGCGGUACGCGAGCUGGGUUCAGAACGUCGUGAGACAGUUCGGUCCCUAUCCGGCGUGGGCGUAGGAUAUCUGAGAGGAGCUGUCCUUAGUACGAGAGGACCGGGAUGGACGGGCCGCUGGUGCAUCGGUUAGACUGCCAAGUCUACGGCCGAGUAGCCAAGCCCGGAAGGGAUAAACGCUGAAGGCAUCUAAGCGUGAAGCCCCCCUUAAGAUGAGAUAUCCCAUUCGAAAGAAGUAAACCCCCUUGAAGACGACGAGGUAGAUAGGGCAGAGGUGGAAGUGCAGCAAUGCAUGGAGCUGACUGUUACUAAUCGGGUGAGGGCUUGACCU